AUGCAGUCGAACGGAUCCUUCGGGAUUAGUGGCAGACGGGUGAGUAACGCGUGGGAAGCUACCUUGUGGUAGGGAACAACAGUUGGAAACGACUGCUAAUACCCUAUGAGCCCUAUGGGGGAAAGAUUUAUCGCCAUGAGAUGUGCCCGCGUUAGAUUAGCUAGUUGGUAAGGUAAUGGCUUACCAAGGCGACGAUCUAUAGCUGGUCUGAGAGGAUGAUCAGCCACACUGGGACUGAGACACGGCCCAGACUCCUACGGGAGGCAGCAGUGGGGAAUAUUGGACAAUGGGGGCAACCCUGAUCCAGCCAUGCCGCGUGUGUGAUGACGGCCUUAGGGUUGUAAAGCACUUUCAGCAGUGAAGAUAAUGACAUUAACUGCAGAAGAAGCCCCGGCUAACUUCGUGCCAGCAGCCGCGGUAAUACGAAGGGGGCUAGCGUUGUUCGGAACACUGGGCGUAAAGCGUACGUAGGCGGGCUGAUAAGUUAGGGGUGAAAUCCCGGGGCUCAACCCCGGAACUGCCUUUGAUACUGUCAGUCUUGAGAUCGAGAGAGGUGAGUGGA
This 562-nucleotide ribosomal RNA is filed under the name alpha proteobacterium 7PC-8. Its description in RNAcentral is "bacterial SSU rRNA". It matches the Rfam family "Bacterial small subunit ribosomal RNA", at positions 55 to 665 of the family's 1533-position model. Lineage: Bacteria; Pseudomonadati; Pseudomonadota; Alphaproteobacteria. The record is from RNAcentral.